AGGCGGCAGUGAACGAAAAACACAGAGCGACGAUUGACAGUUGGAACUGUAAACAAACCAAACCAAAACACAGUGAUCAGUGGAAGUCGGGUGUUAGCCGAAAUGUAUUCUUCAAACGCCGGAAAUAUGAAUCCUGUGCAUGCGGAUCAUCUAAGUACAACUCCAGGACGGCAUAUAUGCACUAAUAAAGUUACAAAUCAAGAAGCCCUUCUAGAGAAAUGCUUACUCGAAUAACAGUCUUUUGGUGUGUCUGACUGCAACUCGACAUCUCCAGUAUAUGGACAUCCAAUGCCCUACUGAAGCAGAGAACAGUAUAGAUAUGGAGGCACUGGCCGAAUUCUGAAGUCAAGACGUGUGGAAUACAAAUGCAGCUUGC
Molecule: long non-coding RNA, 376 nt
Organism: Schistocerca nitens (vagrant locust)
Lineage: Eukaryota; Metazoa; Arthropoda; Insecta; Orthoptera; Acrididae
Exons: 3
Source: RefSeq, a predicted model, not a curated record